GAUGAACGCUGGCGGCGUGCCUAAUACAUGCAAGUCGAGCGGACGGACGAGAAGCUUUCUUCUCUGCUGUUAGCGGCGGACGGGCGAGUAAGACGUGGAUAACCUACCUAUAAGACUGGGAUAACUUCGGGAAACCGGAGAUACUACCGGAUAAUAUUUUGAACGGCAUGAUUCAAAAGUGAAAGACGGUUUUCCUGUCACUUAUAGAUGGUGCCGCGCUGCAUUAGCUAGUUGGUAAGGUAACGGCUUACCAAGGCAACGAUGCAUAGCCGACCUGAGAGGGUGAUCGGCCACACUGGAACUGAGACACGGUCCAGACUCCUACGGGAGGCAGCAGUGGGGAAUCUUCCGCAAUGGGCGAAAGCCUGACGGAGCAACGCCGCGUGAGUGAUGAAGGUCUUCGGAUCGUAAAACUCUGUUAUUAGGAAAGAAAAGAUGUGUAAGUAACUGUGCACAUCUUGACGGUACCUAAUCAGAGAGCCACGGCUAACUACGUG
RNAcentral lists this ribosomal RNA (497 nucleotides) under uncultured bacterium. RNAcentral's name for it is "partial 16S ribosomal RNA". It matches the Rfam family "Bacterial small subunit ribosomal RNA", at positions 28 to 507 of the family's 1533-position model. The record is from RNAcentral.